AAGCGUUUGGUAGGCUAUCAAUAACAGCUCUUAAUUUCUUAAAAUCCUCUUAAACUUCCAGACCUAAACUUAUAUCUGAAUAAACAAAAUACGCGCCUUCCCUGUAUUGCCCUCAUAUCUCAUAUGAACGCAACUCACCUUUAUCAGAUCCUCUCAUGUCUCCUCUCACCUCACACCUCCGACCAACUCCAACGCCAACCACCUCCUUCCAUCACCGAACACCUCAUCCCAUCGUCGGCCACCUAUUCCCAUCGUCGACUCGCACAGCACCGUCACCCCAUCGUAAACCUCGCACACCUACAAGUUUCACACGACUUCUGAUAUCACUUCCACCUCCAUGAAAUCGACUCCCAUCUCCAAACUACGACCUCCGACGCCAAGCUCCGACAUCGCUGGUUCUACCCUCGAAAGCGUCGCCCUCUCCAGGUUCCGCCCUCGACAACGUCGGUCUCUACCAGGGGAUCUCCAAUCUCCUUCGUUGGUCCGGUACAAAGGUGCUAAAAUCACUCCAAAUUCGAGAAAUCGAAUUGUUUUCAUGAUGUGAAAUCGAAAAUCGAUUUAAUAUACCAAGUUUUUAAAUGUUCAUAUUUUAGGUUUUCUGUGAUGUUUUGAAUCAGUGGUGAAACAUAGUAUCAUUCAAAAUUAGUUAUUUAUUUAUAGUUUUGUGGUAUAAUAAUGAUUAUUAUUAUCAUAAACUGAUGUAUUGUUUCCAAAUUUGUUAUUGAUUUAGAGCAUUGUGUGAUUUUUGAUGGUCAAGAUGAUGAUGGAUGAAGGCUGUGAUUUUUUUUGGUCAAAAUUGUUCCUUUUCUAUUUCUCAUAUGAGCAAUUGGAACUUUAGGCAUUGAUGUUUGACUUUAAGCAAUUGGAACUUCAGAUGAAACUAAUAUUGAAUGUUCCUUUUCUAUCUCUUCUAAAAAGAUAUAUAAGAUUGUAUUUGUAUGAAACUAAUGUUGAAUGUUCCAUGUUUAUGCACUGGGAUAUUGUUCGACAAGAAAGGUUCAGGACAAUCACCGGUAGCUAACCACAUAUCAUUGAUUUGGAGCACCAAGAAUGAAUGGAAUGAUUUCAAUUUUCUGAUUUAUUCAAAGUUUUCUUUGUGUUCUCUUAGAUAAGGGUGUUAUACUUGUCAAGAUGUGUAAAUGAAUGUGGUUGUAUACAUGUAAUGUGAUCCAUAUAAACAUAGAGUUCAAGUUGUUUUCAUAGCUAUUGUAAGGUUGUUUUUGUACGGUUUAAAUACAAGAAAUAGCAAUGUAGUUUUAUUUAUUUAUUUAUUAUAGCAUCAUACUUUUACCUCUUUAUAUUAGAGCAUUGUUUGAUUUGAUUUUUGUCAAAUAUAUACGUUUGAUUUGAUUUUUUUUCUAAUUUGGAUUUUUGUAUU
This 1378-nucleotide long non-coding RNA is filed under the name Lactuca sativa (garden lettuce). RNAcentral's name for it is "long non-coding RNA (LSAT_LNC000313)". The record is from RNAcentral. Lineage: Eukaryota; Viridiplantae; Streptophyta; Magnoliopsida; Asterales; Asteraceae.